Molecule: long non-coding RNA, 392 nt
Organism: Rhodamnia argentea
Lineage: Eukaryota; Viridiplantae; Streptophyta; Magnoliopsida; Myrtales; Myrtaceae
Exons: 5
Source: RefSeq, a predicted model, not a curated record
GGCGUGUGUUUUGUUUUUUUUUUUUUUGCUUGAUCAUCUUUGCUUUCGUUUUUUCUUGGGCUAGUAUAUCUCUUCGAUUCGUCUCUUCGCUGAUCUGAUGGCUUCCUAAACGUCGAAUUUGGCAGAUUCUUGCGUUUUUUUUUUUUAAAAACUUUUCAAUUUAAUUUAGAGUCGGCGUCUUGCCCCUGGCGUGUCGGAGAUCUGUGUUUUUACUGUUUCGACGCUCUGUACGUUCAGAUUCCCGUGUGCUUGUGCAUAUGCGAUCUGGAUUCGAGUAACAAGAACGUCUGGCUUCAAUAGUGAAUCUGGGUCGUGAGAUUUCGAGGUCUGGACAUUGUUAGCAGUGAGUCGCUGCAUUUUGGAUUUUUGAACUCCUGGUUAUUUAAAAAAAA